Molecule: ribosomal RNA, 616 nt
Filed under: uncultured bacterium
Lineage: Bacteria
Description: bacterial SSU rRNA
Rfam family: Bacterial small subunit ribosomal RNA (bases 1-517)
Source: RNAcentral
CCUACGGGAGGCAGCAGUGGGGAAUAUUGGACAAUGGGCGCAAGCCUGAUCCAGCAAUGCCGCGUGAGUGAUGAAGGCCUUAGGGUCGUAAAGCUCUUUUACCAGGGAUGAUAAUGACAGUACCUGGAGAAUAAGCUCCGGCUAACUCCGUGCCAGCAGCCGCGGUAAUACGGAGGGAGCUAGCGUUGUUCGGAAUUACUGGGCGUAAAGCGUACGUAGGCGGUUAUUCAAGUCAGAGGUGAAAGCCCGGGGCUCAACCCCGGAACGGCCUUUGAAACUAGGUAGCUAGAAUCUUGGAGAGGUCAGUGGAAUUCCGAGUGUAGAGGUGAAAUUCGUAGAUAUUCGGAAGAACACCAGUGGCGAAGGCGACUGACUGGACAAGUAUUGACGCUGAGGUACGAAAGCGUGGGGAGCAAACAGGAUUAGAUACCCUGGUAGUCCACGCCGUAAACGAUGAUAACUAGCUGUUCGGGCACUUGGUGCUUGAGUGGCGCAGCUACGCAUUAAGUUAUCCGUCCGUCGGGUAGGUACGGUCGCGAGAAGUUAAACGUAACAAAUAGAAGUUAAGUACGGUCGUUGAGUACGUUAGCCGAACGGACGACGACGAGGGAGGAGG